This is a non-coding RNA of Podarcis lilfordi (Lilford's wall lizard), 2491 nucleotides long. NCBI's taxonomy places the organism in Eukaryota, Metazoa, Chordata, Lepidosauria, Squamata, Lacertidae. The record is from the annotation of a GenBank genome assembly.
CAACGAACUUCAACUGUUCAACAGUCCCUUGCACUGAAGUCUGCUGCUAUUCAUUAGCUUUGUUUUAUUUUUAGGAUUGUUUUAAUUUUGUUGGCAUUUAUUUGCUUUUCGUCUGAAAAAGUAUGGUGCAAAUAAGUCAGUGAAGGGCACUCUUGGAAUUGCAGGGGCCUCUGUGUGCUCAGCAGUCAGACUAAGCUGAGCAUCGGUAUUAUUUUAGACGUCUCAAUGAAAUUGGGGGUCAUUUACCCUUACUGGCUAGGAAAAGAAGACCAUCUUUUGUCAAGAAAGCAGCUCCUUUAAUACAUAUAAGAACUACACACCCAUCAGUGGUAACAUAGAUCAUGGGUAGGCAAACUAAGGCCCGGGGGUCGGAUCCGGCCCAAUUGCCUUCUAAAUACGGCCUGUGGACGGUCCAGGAAUCAGCGUGUUUUUACAUGAGUAGAAUGUGUCCUUUUAUUUAAAAUGCGUCUCUGGGUUAUUUGUGGGGCGUAGGAAUUCAUUCAUACAGUAUAUUUUUUUCAAAAUAUAGUCCGGCCCCCCAUAAGGCCUGAGGGAGAGUGGACCGGCCCCCUGCUGAAAAAGUUUGCUGACCCCUGAUGUAGAUCUUCUGUAGCUCUUCCCUCUGUGUGUUCAGUCUGCGUGUGAUUGGGCAAUGCCUCCUGUGCCUUCCUCCCAGUCGCCGCAUGUUCACUGGAAGCAUGAAGGAAAUUCAAUGCAUGCACAUGACACCCAGGCACAUAGCACCUAUCAUUCCUUUUGCUCAACACAUCAAGGUUGGAAAUGGGGCUUCAGGCGCAUCCCUGGACCCUAGUCAUGCGCUGACUGAAGUCGUGGAAGGGGAGAGAACAGGGUCCGUUUCUUGCAUCAGACAGGGUCAAAACGAGAGUGCUUAUCAGUGCCUUUAAAUAUGACGCUUGUGUGUAUUACUAUAUAACGCCAUUGCACUUUAUGGAGUAACAAAGACAGGCGCUCGGCCUGAGCAGUUAGCAAUCUAAAAUUUGAAACGGGGGAAAGAGGGGAUAAAGAUGGCGGAUGAGGGUAAUUGGAAGCAUACGCUUACUUUGGUCACACAUACUUGGCUUUGCCAUCACAGGUGUUUUUGGGGAAAGAUUUGAAGGAGAAGAAAAGCACAGAUAAGUGUUCUAGGAGGGAGGUUUAGCUGUGAGAAGCAGCAAGGAGGAAGGGCAGAGUUAUUUGAGGUAGCAGGAAACCUUCAGGCAACUGAGAACAGCGACGUUGGUGGCUUUUACGGUAAGGAAAGGGACCUUUUGACGGAUCCAUGAGGAUUUCAGGAAGGCUCUCCCGUGGUCUGAAGGUGAAAAGAGACGGGUGGUUUUGGUGGCAGAAUUCUGGGUGGAGGUGAGAAGGCCAAGGUGUGGUACUAGAAAGUCGGAUAGGAGGUUGUGACGGUAGAAGAGGAGGGAGAUGAAACAGGUACCAUAUAAAACAAGGGUGAGGAACUGCCAGCCUGCAGUAUGGGGCUUCUGUUUCUGGCUUGUGAAAAGCCUUCUGCUGGAGGCCACACAUACCCACCCACCCCGUCAAUUUGGUUUGUGAAAAGCCGUCUCUUGGGGUUUGCCUUUCCUGUGUGCUGUGCCUACUUGCCCAAAAGGCUGUCCUGCCGCAGUGUGAUAAUGGGCGGUGGCAGGGGGAAGCCUGUUUUCCAAGGCUAAUGGUUAUGGAGAGGAUCUUCCUGGAGAAUGCAGUAGAAGAAGCUGGGGAUGAUGGGAGGGAGAGACCAGAACAUACUGUGGGACAUCAGGUUGGCAUCGGCUGUAAUACAGAAAUAGUUUUACAAGUUAGUGGCCUGCCCUAAACAACUUAAGCAGCACAGCAUAUAUAAUAAUCUGUCAAGAGUUAUUGACACAUAAAUUCAGGUAGUAUUUGCUGAAAGCAGAUGGGUAAUAAACGUACUCAAAUGUAUAUCAUUUCUCAGAUUCUACUACUAAUAAUUCCCUCAUACAUGAGCCAAUGUGUUAAUGUUAAUGUUUAUUAUUAUUGUUAUUUGUAUGUAACCUAUGUGGCCAAUGUAUUUUUGAACCGCCUUGUGUGUAGCAAUAUAGAAAGGCGGUAUACAAAUUAGAAGUGAAAUGAAAUUAAAUGAACAAAUAGCACAUUCUGUCAAGACAGAAAACAUCUCCCCUUCAUUAAUGUUGCAAAAUGUACUAAGAAUCUUGAUUAAAAGCUAUAGAACUGAGUUUUUUUGUGAUGGUUUUCAUAUGAUACACCACUGCUCCACGAUACUGUAGAUUAGGGAGAUGAUGGUUCCUAUCUCUUGAUGAUAAUUGUUCUUAGUUUGCCAUAAUAAUCAUUCUAGCGAGUUUAUUUUAUGCACCUUUGAAUAAAACACCUUGGAAUAGUGCAAACACCUUUGAAAAUGUUGCACUGGGAGCUGGGUAAGAUCAAUAUAGACUCUCACCUAGGGAAUCAAGUCAUGGAUGUAUUUCUCAGUUUUGUCCUGCCAAAUAAAUAAAGCUGUGCGUGUGAAAGC